CUGAUAUAAAACAAUACAGCCAAAUUAUGGAAAGCAAGAAACAGGUGUCACUCAUAGCCUGCUAGUACUGGGCAGGGAUGUCUGCUACAAAUAUAAAUCUGUGAGUGCAGAAGAGCCUGGACAGUGCUACCAUCUAAUAGGUGUUCAGUGAUUGCAUAUUUGCUGAGUAUAUAAAUGGAAGACAAGAGUAUGAUCCCAUUUUCCAGAGGUGGAAACAGAGUCAGAAUGAUUAAAAAACUUGUCCAAGUCACAUAACUAGUGUAUUCAUCAGAUUCUUAAUAAUAAACAACAGAAAUCAACUUUGGAUGAUUUGAAAAAAAAAUAAAAAGGAAUGGCUACUGGAGAGUUCAUGGAAGGAAGACUCAGGCUUAGCAAAUGAGCUGGAAUAAGCAGGGGAAGAAGGCAGCUUUGACCGUGGGUGAAGGAAUUCGAGAAGCAGCCUGGUGAGGAUACUGCUGACAUCUGCUGAGUAGGGGACAUUGCAGAGUGUUCUGCUGUGGCCAUCACUGUCCCUGGGUGUCGGCACUUGCUAUUUCUGCUGCUGGCUUCAGCAACAUGACUUUGCCAUUGGCUUUCAUUGUCUGCAUCAUUAGUUUUUGGUUAAGUCUGCUUGGUUGUGACUUAGCUGCAAGGGAAUCUGGGAAACUCUGGAGUCUAGCAAAGCCCAAGAUCAAGGUUCUGGCAGCUUUGGUAUCUGCUGAGGGCUGCUUUCUGCUUCCAGGGUGAUGCCUCAUUGCUGGGUCCCAUAUCAUGGAAAGGGAGGAAGAAACAAACUUAUGCCUUCAAGCCAGUAAUCCCAAUGGUCUCCUGAAGGCCCCGCCUCUUGACACUUCUGCACUGCGGGUUCAGCUCCAUCAUGAAUUUUGGAAGAGACACAAAUGUUGG
This 885-nucleotide long non-coding RNA is filed under the name Heterocephalus glaber (naked mole-rat). RNAcentral describes it as "lncRNA (ENSHGLG00100038404.1)". The record is from RNAcentral. Lineage: Eukaryota; Metazoa; Chordata; Mammalia; Rodentia; Bathyergidae.